UACGAAGGGUGCAAACGUUGCUCGGAAUUACUGGGCGUAAAGGGCGCGUAGGCGGCCGCCUAAGUCAGACGUGAAAUCCCUCGGCUCAACCGGGGAACUGCGUCUGAUACUGGGUGGCUUGAAUUCGGGAGAGGGAUGCGGAAUUCCAGGUGUAGCGGUGAAAUGCGUGGAUAUCUGGAGGAACACCGGUGGCGAAGGCGGCAUCCUGGACCGAGAUUGACGCUGAGGCGCGAAAGCCAGGGGAGCAAACGGG
Molecule: ribosomal RNA, 253 nt
Filed under: uncultured bacterium
Lineage: Bacteria
Description: partial 16S ribosomal RNA
Rfam family: Bacterial small subunit ribosomal RNA
Source: RNAcentral